UCCCUCGUAGCUCAGUUGGUAAAGAAUCUGCCUGCAAUGCAGGAGACCCAGGUUCGAUUCCUGGGUCGGGAA
Molecule: transfer RNA, 72 nt
Filed under: Bos taurus (domestic cattle)
Lineage: Eukaryota; Metazoa; Chordata; Mammalia; Artiodactyla; Bovidae
Also listed under: 3 other names
Rfam family: tRNA
About the family: Transfer RNA (tRNA) molecules are approximately 80 nucleotides in length.
Source: Rfam by way of RNAcentral